GGCGAUCCAAGCAAGGAGCGGCAAGCUGUUGUCCUUUUCCUCGUUGUGGUAGCUUUGUUCUUUUGCUCUUUGCAAUGUAUGUAUUGCUGCUGCUCGUUCUUUGGGUCCCUGCCACGUUUAUGAGCUGUAAUGCUCACCCGGAAGGUGUGCAGCUUCACUUCUCAAGCCAGCAAGGUUACUGAACCAAGGAAACUCAGGACGAGUCACUUUUACGAACUGUAACACUCACUGUGAAGAUCUGCAGCUAUACUCCUGAAGCCAGCGAGACCAGGAACACACCUGGAGGAAGAAACUGCAGACAUGUGUGAAGAACAACUCCGGAGAAGCUGCCCUUAAGAACUGUAGCACUCACUGCGAGGGUCCGUGGGGCUUCUUUCUUGAAGUCAGCGAGGCCAAGAACCCACCAUUUCUGGACGAGGGAGGGCUAAAUUGACAUAUAAAACAAGGUUUACAGUCUUUUGCAUGCAAAUAUUUCUGUCCGUUCUGAAAUGGAAAGUGGAAAUCCCUUAGCAGCUGGGCAACAGGGAGAGAGACAAGAACUCUUUUCAGGUCAUCAAUAACCUUGGUCCUUUGGAACUGAUUCUUAAUACUCCUAGCCAUCAUAGGGUUCAUCAUG
Molecule: long non-coding RNA, 616 nt
Filed under: Homo sapiens (human)
Lineage: Eukaryota; Metazoa; Chordata; Mammalia; Primates; Hominidae
Description: non-protein coding lnc-MEOX2-6:1
Source: RNAcentral